AACGAACGCUGGCGGCAUGCCUAACACAUGCAAGUCGAACGAGACCUUCGGGUCUAGUGGCGCACGGGUGCGUCACGCGUGGGAACCUGCCCUUAGGUUCGGAAUAACUCCCCGAAAGGGGUGCUAAUACCGGAUAAUGUCUUCGGACCAAAGAUUUAUCGCCUUUGGAUGGGCCCGCGUUGGAUUAGCUAGUUGGUAGGGUAAAAGCCUACCAAGGCGACGAUCCAUAGCUGGUCUGAGAGGAAGAUCAGCCACACUGGGACUGGGACACGGCCCAGACUCCUACGGGAGGCAGCAGUGGGGAAUAUUGGACAAUGGGCGAAGGCCUGAUCCAGCAAUGCCGCGUGAGUGAUGAAGUCCUGAGGGUAGUAAAGCUCUUUUACCCGGGAUGAUAAUGACAGUACCGGGAGAAUAAGCACCGGCUAACUCCGUG
This 433-nucleotide ribosomal RNA is filed under the name uncultured bacterium. RNAcentral's name for it is "partial 16S ribosomal RNA". It matches the Rfam family "Bacterial small subunit ribosomal RNA", at positions 29 to 507 of the family's 1533-position model. The record is from RNAcentral.